AUGAGAGGAAAGACCUUAACACUUAGAGGCUUGCAAAGGGAAUGGAGUUUUAAUCUGAAGUGUAUGGAGGUUUGGGCCUUGUUUGUAUCACCUGCCCCAAGGCAUAUGCCUAUGCCUUGGCAACUGAACUACCCUUGUGUCUUCGCUGUCUGCAUGGACUUGAGCUGAGAUUCAGACUCCAGGGACUGGCAUCUCAUGGUAUGAAAAGUGGAAAAUUGGUUGUUUUCUAGGUGCUUUGCCAAAAUGCCAUUUGCCCUCAAAUCUGCUAUUUGUUUAUGGAGAUGAGUAAUCUAUGCUUUCUCAAACAGUAUUAGGUGUUUAUCUUUCAGUAUCAAAGCCCUCCUGAAAGCACCCACCACACCCCAGAACGUCAUGAUGGCUUAGAUAUGCAGCUCAUAUAAUCUGAAACUGAUCUUAAUAAUAAUCUUACUAAACACAAGCUUUGAUAGCUGUUUCAGAUGCCUUAGAGUAUCAGCCAUGCAAGUGAGGCUGUUGAUAUUGCAAAGCGUUUCUGGAAGAACUAUACUCUUCUGGGCUGAUUGUGUCAAGCUGAGUGGGGCACUCUGCAUGCAACACGCAUACGCCGAGAUAUUGUAAGUCAGGAGCCGUAAGUCUCACCCACACAAAAUCUUGUAAUAGAACAAUUAAGUGAAUGUGCCAUGUUUUUAAAAUUGUUGUUGACAGAAAUAUUCUGAGGAAACCAGCUGUCUUUCAAGCUAAAGAGAUAUUAUGUCUUGAUACUGUUUGAGUAAGUAGCUUAAUAGAAUAGAAUGGGUUUAUUUUCCUUGUAUUUUUAAUUCUUCUGAACAUUUGUUUACAUAUUCUGUAAGAGUGGAACCUGGGAUUAUGGCUAGGGACCAGAAGCUUGCAGGUAGAAUGUUAAACAAUAGUUCCACUGAUUCAUCUGGGGGAAAAUCUUUGUCUAUACAAGUGAAAGAACCAAAUUAUUUUAAUCUAAGGAAAAAUAAUAUGAAGGCCUGAAUUCUGUAGCUUUGUGCAGUAUUUUUAGCUGUCUUUCUUCAGCUUUCAGGCAUCCCUGUGUACACAGCUGCAUUCCCUUUCCUCCUUGCACUUUUGGCCAAAUGCUUGGUGGUGUAGUUCGGUAUAAUUCCAUUGAUGUAACUUUGCCGAGUUACCCUGGCUGAAGGUUUCCCUCAGCCUGCCCAGU
This 1168-nucleotide long non-coding RNA is filed under the name Numida meleagris (helmeted guineafowl). Its description in RNAcentral is "lncRNA (ENSNMEG00000008621.1)". The record is from RNAcentral. Lineage: Eukaryota; Metazoa; Chordata; Aves; Galliformes; Numididae.